AUGUCUUCCUCCUCCGGCGCCGCCCAGUCCAAUCUCAAUGGGCAAGUCAUCGAGAAGCUUUCCCGCACGAACUACGUGAUGUGGCGCAUGCAGAUCACACUCCAACCGCGUGGCGCCGACGUCUUCGGCUUCAUCGACGGCACAUCACCGGAGCCAGCCAAGCUCCUCGCCGCCAAGGAGAAAGACGGCAAGGAGACGUUCGUGCCCAACCCUCUCCACCCUAUCUGGGUCCGGGAGGACCAGCAAGUGCUCGGCUACCUGCUGAGCAACCUCUCCAAGGAGGUGCUGGUCACGGUAACCACGGUCACCACGACGCAUGGGCUCUGGAUGACGCUGGCAGGCAUGUACUCGUCGUAGUCGCUGAGCCUCGUCAACAACAUUCGUACCUCCCUCAUCAACGCGCAGAAAGGUACUCAAUCUGCCGCCGCCUACUUCGCCUUCAUGCGUGGCCUCGCCGAUGAGCUGGCCACGGCCUUCAUGCGUGGUCUCGCCAAUGAACUCAUCUCCUACAUCCUCCACGGGCUGGAUCUGGAGUACCAGCCCCUGGUUUCGGCCCUCGACGCCCGUGUCUCACCCGCCUCCCUCGAUGAGAUCUUCGCCAUGCUCAGCAACUUUGACCAACGCAUG
RNAcentral lists this ribosomal RNA (627 nucleotides) under Triticum aestivum (bread wheat). RNAcentral's name for it is "partial small subunit ribosomal RNA". The record is from RNAcentral. Lineage: Eukaryota; Viridiplantae; Streptophyta; Magnoliopsida; Poales; Poaceae.